CAAGUACCCCCUCCGUUCAGAAUUACUUGUCAUCAAAAUGGAUGUGUCUAGAACUAAAAUACAUCUAGAUACAUCCAUUUCAAUGACAAGUAUUUUCGAACGGAGGGAGUACAAG
Non-coding RNA from Triticum aestivum (bread wheat), 115 nucleotides. The record is from Rfam. NCBI's taxonomy places the organism in Eukaryota, Viridiplantae, Streptophyta, Magnoliopsida, Poales, Poaceae.